AGAGUGGUGGUGAAAUAAUCAUAAGCGGUUGUCGUCCGUUAGUUGCCUGAGUAAUCCAUGCCCAUUCUU
Molecule: transfer RNA, 69 nt
Filed under: Mimachlamys nobilis (noble scallop)
Lineage: Eukaryota; Metazoa; Mollusca; Bivalvia; Pectinida; Pectinidae
Description: tRNA-Asp
Source: RNAcentral